CCUACGGGUGGCUGCAGUGAGGAAUAUUGGUCAAUGGACGAGAGUCUGAACCAGCCAAGUAGCGUGAAGGAUGACUGCCCUAUGGGUUGUAAACUUCUUUUAUAUGGGAAUAAAAUGUUCCACGUGUGGGAUUUUGUAUGUACCAUAUGAAUAAGGAUCGGCUAACUCCGUGCCAGGAGCCGCGGUAAUACGGAGGAUCCGAGCGUUAUCCGGAUUUAUUGGGUUUAAAGGGAGCGUAGGUGGGUUGUUAAGUCAGUUGUGAAAGUUUGCGGCUCAACCGUAAAAUUGUAAUUGAAACUGGCAGUCUUGAGUACAGUAGAGGUGGGCGGAAUUCGUGGUGUAGCGGUGAAAUGCUUAGAUAUCACGAAGAACUCCGAUUGCGAAGGCAGUUCACUGGACUGCAACUGACACUGAGGCUCGAAAGUGUGGGUAUCAAACAGGAUUAGAUACCCUUGUAGUC
This 460-nucleotide ribosomal RNA is filed under the name uncultured bacterium. Its description in RNAcentral is "partial 16S ribosomal RNA". It matches the Rfam family "Bacterial small subunit ribosomal RNA", at positions 338 to 795 of the family's 1533-position model. The record is from RNAcentral.